UUUUUUUUAAAACCAAAACCUCUUAGAAUGGCUUUUAAAUUCCAUAAGUACUUUUCUCAGAAAGGGAUUUGGCAUAACAAAUAAGAGAGUAAAGAACUAAGAUUCAAAAUUCAUUUUUACAAAUCUAUCCUUAAAUCUUGGAUGAGAGCCAACAACCAACCUCAUAUUAGAAGGCUUGACUUGAAGAACAUGGGGAAAUUUACUUUACAUUGACAGCUUCAAGAACACCUAGUCUAUACAUCAUUAAAUAAGAUAUAUGGGAAGAAAAAAAGCAUAUGUGGAUAGCCCUGGUUUUAUUAUUUUCAAUGAAACAACGAUAUCGUGCAACCUUUGCCCAUAAAAGAAUGCAAAACAAAAAUUUUAAAAAAGAAAAAGAAACCUCUGGUGCCAACAUGUUGUAUAUUUACUUGUGUAGCCAUGACUGCUACCGGCUUUUUGAAGAGAACCGUGCAGCCAGUUUGGAUUCCGACAGCAAUGCAGUAGAAUUUAAGGUGUUAUGACUAAAAUAUGUCCUAAACAGGUUAAGCUAGACAUACAACAUUUUAAUACAGUAGUGUCGAGAUACUCAUUCCUGUGAAUACCGCAGGAGAAAUACAGGCGAGGAGGAAUCACACUGCCCUGGAUACACAUGAAUAUGCCAUCUCCCUGCCUAUCUCUACCCAACCCUACACACACCUAUCUUUACCACGCAGAGACAAUUAAACAGCCAUAGACUCGAUGCAUUUCUGUGUCCUUGUUCCCACUGGGUGAGUUAUUGCCAGCCUGACAUUUUUCCAAAUUCCCUACUAGUGGGCUAUAUCAGGUAGGAAAGCAGGGACUUUACUGACCUGGGACCCCAUCACUGUGGGUCUUGGGAGAUUUCAGUUUCCAAAUGAUACACGGCACCACCUAGCUAUUGUGACAGCUGGGAGAGUGGAUGUCACCAGCAGUAGAAAUAAAGUAUCCUGUUUCCUGAGGAAAACGCCCUGGCUGUGCGACGCUGACCAGGUGGGCACCAAACACUUCUCCGUGUGAUAUUUUUCUUCUUUUUUAAAGACUGCCCCCCGCCCCGCCGCAUCUCUCUAUACGUACACACCUCCAGAGUUCAUUCUAAAAGAACCAAUACAAAGACCAUCCAUCCUCUAGCCAUAAGGUUUUCAGUGCUUAAAUGUGGAAGGAGAAGCUCUAGCUAGCAUUGAAAGUUGUGGGGACAGGAAGAGGAAUCUGAUCAUUCAACACUAUUCUCCUUCAGGUCAGACAAGAGAAAAACAAUAGAAACUGCAGAGUCAGGGAGUACAAGACCCUUAUGGAACAGGUGCUAAGCAGAGAAGUAGUAUCAGAGGAUGGAAGCCCCUUUCAAAACCGGGUACACCAGCAAGCCCAGAACGCGUAACGGUUAUCCUAUUUCCCUGCCAUGUGCCUCAAAGCAACAUGCUCACUUCCACAUCCCCAUGUAAUGAGGCCAGAGGAAGGGGAAGCGAGAAUCCCUACACUGGGCCAUCCACACGCAGGAGCAGAACAGAGACUGUGCUCAGAGUUGCAGGGUCAAAAUAACAAACACUGUCCCACAGUCUCAGCCGGUGACAUCAAGUCAGGGCAGCGGCAGAUCUCUGGGUU
This is a long non-coding RNA of Macaca fascicularis (crab-eating macaque), 1596 nucleotides long. Lineage: Eukaryota; Metazoa; Chordata; Mammalia; Primates; Cercopithecidae. The record is from Ensembl.